This 74-nucleotide transfer RNA is filed under the name Desmophyllum pertusum. Its description in RNAcentral is "tRNA-Thr". The stretch from base 2 to 60 matches the Rfam family "tRNA", at positions 8 to 63 of the family's 71-position model. Rfam says of the family: Transfer RNA (tRNA) molecules are approximately 80 nucleotides in length. Lineage: Eukaryota; Metazoa; Cnidaria; Anthozoa; Scleractinia; Caryophylliidae. The record is from RNAcentral.
GUAGCUCAGUUGGUUAGAGCGCCUGUCUAGUAAACAGGAGGUCAUGGGUUCAAAUCCCAUAUUUUUUUUAUUCA